RNAcentral lists this transfer RNA (64 nucleotides) under Taenia martis (marten tapeworm). RNAcentral describes it as "tRNA-Pro". Lineage: Eukaryota; Metazoa; Platyhelminthes; Cestoda; Cyclophyllidea; Taeniidae. The record is from RNAcentral.
CUUAUCUUAGUUUAAUUAAGAAUGUAGGUUUUGGGGAUCUUUGGUCUCUUAAUGAGAGAUUUGA